Molecule: ribosomal RNA, 253 nt
Filed under: uncultured bacterium
Lineage: Bacteria
Description: partial 16S ribosomal RNA
Rfam family: Bacterial small subunit ribosomal RNA
Source: RNAcentral
UACGUAGGGGGCAAGCGUUAUCCGGAUUCACUGGGCGUAAAGGGAGCGCAGGCGGCACGGCAAGUCUGGUGUGAAAGCCCGGGGCCCAACCCCGGGACUGCAUUGGAAACUGCCGGGCUGGAGUGCCGGAGGGGUAAGCGGAAUUCCUGGUGUAGCGGUGAAAUGUGCAGAUAUCAGGAAGAACACCGGUGGCGUAGGCGGCUUACUGGACGGCAACUGACGCUGAGGCUCGAAAGCGUGGGGAGCAAACAGG